GUUCUUAUAGCUCAAUGGUAGAGCAGAUGACUGUUAAUCAUCAGGUUGGUGGUUCAAAUCCACCUAAGAACG
RNAcentral lists this transfer RNA (72 nucleotides) under Bacteroides ovatus. RNAcentral's name for it is "tRNA-Asn". It matches the Rfam family "tRNA". From Rfam's summary of the family: Transfer RNA (tRNA) molecules are approximately 80 nucleotides in length. The record is from RNAcentral. Lineage: Bacteria; Pseudomonadati; Bacteroidota; Bacteroidia; Bacteroidales; Bacteroidaceae.